RNAcentral lists this ribosomal RNA (261 nucleotides) under uncultured archaeon. Its description in RNAcentral is "partial 16S ribosomal RNA". It matches the Rfam family "Archaeal small subunit ribosomal RNA", at positions 748 to 1009 of the family's 1478-position model. The record is from RNAcentral.
UAGCCGUAAACGAUACUCGCUAGGUGUCGGCCACGGUGCGACCGUUGUCGGUGCCGUAGGGAAGCCGUGAAGCGAGCCACCUGGGAAGUACGGCCGCAAGGCUGAAACUUAAAGGAAUUGGCGGGGGAGCACCACAACGGGUGGAGCUUGCGGUUUAAUUGGAUUCAACGCCGGACAACUCACCAGGAGCGACGGUUACAUGAAGGCCAGGCUGAUGACCUUGCCUGAUUUUCCGAGAGGUGGUGCAUGGCGUAGUCGUGU